Molecule: long non-coding RNA, 2166 nt
Filed under: Lytechinus variegatus (green sea urchin)
Lineage: Eukaryota; Metazoa; Echinodermata; Echinoidea; Temnopleuroida; Toxopneustidae
Description: uncharacterized LOC121423808
Source: RNAcentral
GUGAGGUAUCCGUGGUCGACGAGUCACGACGGGUCAUCGUUCAGGCGGUCCAUGAACUCUAUGAUCGGGAGGUCACCACACCGUGGCAAGACACAGAAACAAGAACUUGUACCAUCGUCUUUAUAGGUCGCAACUUGGAUGAGGACGCUUUGAAGAAAGCCUUUAACAAUCUACUAGAAGGGCAGGACGAGACUAUGGCUCACUGACAUCCACGCUUCACCAUUGGUCAUUAGUUACCCUCAACGUCGCUUCUUUUAAUGUCAUCUACAAGACAAUUCUUAGAUCAGUGCUACAAAUAGCAAUUAUUGUUCCCUCGAAUACGAUAUUGACAAAAGUUAUGGGCGAAAAAUGAACAGACGCAUAUUUCUGUGGCAGCGGUGGGCUCUUUCAUAAACCUACAGGUCACUUUAGGACAACGAGAUUCUGAAUUGCCUUAUUGUUAACCUACAUUUGUUUCAUUCAGCUUUAAAGUUUGAAUAUUUUUCAAAUACCCUCAUCUAAAAUGUGGCAAACGAAUGAUUCGCAUUCAGAAAUUUUGUGUUAAUAGUGAUAUUAUAUUCCAACUCUUUGCUUUUGCGAUUCAAUAUAAAUAAAGGCCUUCGUGGACCUUCUAUAUUCCAGUCUUUCGUAAAGUUAUGUGUAAAUUUACAAACGAUGUCCUGAAUCCUUGUUAUGGGUACUAACUCGGUUAUUUCAAAUUAUCAACCGUGUUUGAGUGACUGUCGCCCCAGAUAAUGUCGUUGCAUAACUUGUGAAGGAGGUAUGGAUUCAUGUAACCCAGGAAUUAAAGAAGGAACAUUGUCCUCAGAGUUUAUGUGGAUCGGAGCAAUGGUUGGAGAUGCAGGAUUAGAAGUUUGAUAAAUUAUUUCAUUCAAAAGUCAACAAAGUGCGCCUGAUUCGCUUUCCAUUUAUUUUAUGCCCUUCGUUCAUUGUCGUUCGCACAACAAUCGUGACUUUCUUUGGCCAUUACCCCUGUUUCACAAAACUUAUCAGUAAGUUUAUAUCUUCCCCAUACAUACAUUAGUUGUUCAUGGUCAAUCAAAUUUUGGUGAAUUAUAACAAUUUCUUGUAAGGUGUCACUGCACCAUGUUUUGUGAAGCAGGGUCCGUGAUGCAGAAUAGACAAAGUGUAACCAGGCAAGUCCCACUUCCCUAGUAUAUAACCUACUUUAACUUGCAAUUUGCAUACCUAAUACUAUGAAUUUCACAAUCGAUAAUCUCCCAUCAUCUGAUCAUGUUCAAAUACCAAGCAAUAUGCAUUGAAAUUAGGGGUAGGAAAUGACAGUUUAAAUCAAAAUACGACAAGAAAAAAUGUAUUUCUUUCUUAAUUAUGUUCUAAAAUUCACCCUUUUUUCAUUUUCUUUGACAAUGAAUGUUAUACAUGCUAUGCAAGAAAGAUGAAACCUUGCCGCAUCCCACAGAAAUGUAGACUGAAUUCAUAUCAAGUCUAUACUUACAUCUGUUAUUGUCUUAAAAGAAAAAUACUCAAGAGGUUUUGAUUGGAAGCAACAUGAUCAAGUAUCUCAUGGAAAAUGAUAUUUUUCCAUCACCCGCCGGGUGUACUUUGAACGCUUCGACUUAUUUUCAGGACUAAACACCAUAAAUAAAUAUUUAUUCAUGUCAAUUCAGCACAAUCUUCUCCAUCAUUGUAUCUUAUGAAACAAACCAUUUGGAUAAAAUAACAAUUACUCAUUGAGUUGAGCUAUGGACCAUUAGAAGGGCAAUGACCCGAUAGGUCACACACCAAAGCUGUAAUAGCCCCAUGGGCAUAUUCGUUUAUUAUUAACUCAAAUUAGUGUGUUCAUUAUGUCAAAUUACUGAAGGUAAGCGAGGGAGGGUGAUUAAAUAAUUGAUGUCUACAAUUAUUUUGAAUAUUUUCACACUUGUGUUCAUCGACAUGAACCCCUGAUUACUUUAAUAUUUUAUUCUGGAGCAUUGUUGAGAACAGUGCGACAGAUUCAGUCAUUAUUUUACCCCUUCAUGGCCUUCCUUCCCCUUUAGACCAAACUAACCAAGCGAACCCUAGCCAUUACAAUGAUAACCAUGUUUAUACCCUUAUCCAUAACUAAAAUAGGAAUAGUGCGUCCAUUCUAUUUGUCAUACAUGUAAUAUAUAUAUAUUAAUGUGUUACAUAUGCGUGAUUAUUUCUGAUGAAUAAAGACUUUUA